GAUGAACGCUGGCGGCGUGCUUAACACAUGCAAGUCGAACGGGAAACCUUUUAUUGAAGCUUCGGCAGAUUUAGAUUGUUUCUAGUGGCGGACGGGUGAGUAACGCGUGGGUAACCUGCCUUAUACAGGGGGAUAACAGUCAGAAAUGACUGCUAAUACCGCAUAAGCGCACAGAGCUGCAUGGCUCAGUGUGAAAAACUCCGGUGGUAUAAGAUGGACCCGCGUUGGAUUAGCUAGUUGGUGAGGUAACGGCCCACCAAGGCGACGAUCCAUAGCCGGCCUGAGAGGGUGAACGGCCACAUUGGGACUGAGACACGGCCCAGACUCCUACGGGAGGCAGCAGUGGGGAAUAUUGCACAAUGGGGGAAACCCUGAUGCAGCGACGCCGCGUGAAGGAAGAAGUAUCUCGGUAUGUAAACUUCUAUCAGCAGGGAAGAAAAUGACGGUACCUGACUAAGAAGCCC
Molecule: ribosomal RNA, 464 nt
Filed under: uncultured bacterium
Lineage: Bacteria
Description: bacterial SSU rRNA
Rfam family: Bacterial small subunit ribosomal RNA
Source: RNAcentral